This 450-nucleotide ribosomal RNA is filed under the name Escherichia coli. RNAcentral's name for it is "bacterial SSU rRNA". It matches the Rfam family "Bacterial small subunit ribosomal RNA", at positions 39 to 477 of the family's 1533-position model. The record is from RNAcentral. Lineage: Bacteria; Pseudomonadati; Pseudomonadota; Gammaproteobacteria; Enterobacterales; Enterobacteriaceae.
UGCGGCAGGCCUAACACCUGCAAGUCGAACCGUAACAGGAAGAAGCUUGCUUCUUUGCUGACGAGUGGCGGACGGGUGAGUAAUGUCUGGGAAACUGCCUGAUGGAGGGGGAUAACUACUGGAAACGGUAGCUAAUACCGCAUAACGUCGCAAGACCAAAGAGGGGGACCUUCGGGCCUCUUGCCAUCGGAUGUGCCCAGAUGGGAUUAGCUAGUAGGUGGGGUAACGGCUCACCUAGGCGACGAUCCCUAGCUGGUCUGAGAGGAUGACCAGCCACACUGGAACUGAGACACGGUCCAGACUCCUACGGGAGGCAGCAGUGGGGAAUAUUGCACAAUGGGCGCAAGCCUGAUGCAGCCAUGCCGCGUGUAUGAAGAAGGCCUUCGGGUUGUAAAGUACUUUCAGCGGGGAGGAAGGGAGUAAAGUUAAUACCUUUGCUCAUUGACGUUA